CGGACGGGUGAGGAAUACAUCGGAAUCUACUCUGUCGUGGGGGAUAACGUAGGGAAACUUACGCUAAUACCGCAUACGACCUACGGGUGAAAGCAGGGGAUCUUCGGACCUUGCGCGAUUGAAUGAGCCGAUGUCGGAUUAGCUAGUUGGCGGGGUAAAGGCCCACCAAGGCGACGAUCCGUAGCUGGUCUGAGAGGAUGAUCAGCCACACUGGAACUGAGACACGGUCCAGACUCCUACGGGAGGCAGCAGAG
Molecule: ribosomal RNA, 254 nt
Filed under: uncultured Stenotrophomonas sp.
Lineage: Bacteria; Pseudomonadati; Pseudomonadota; Gammaproteobacteria; Lysobacterales; Lysobacteraceae
Description: partial 16S ribosomal RNA
Rfam family: Bacterial small subunit ribosomal RNA
Source: RNAcentral